UGCAAAAUUUGCAAUUUUUAAGUGCCUGCGUAUCAUUCAUCUCACUUUGUCAGAGUAUUAAAGUUUUUGUCAUAACGUAAACAUUAACCUUUCGUCGUAGCAAAGGCGCAUGACGCACCCUGCUCAUAUUAGAUGGGACCCGGGAAGAAAAUGAUAAGAAGCGCUAAGGUCGAGCGAAAUCCAGAGCGAUCGAAGGAGAAAAGGAGAAGGAGAUGACGAGAGGAAAGCAGAAGAUCGAAGCGCAGAAACGAAAUGCAGAGAAGAAUCAGAAGCAAAAGGGAUCUCAGCUCGAGGCCAGAGCCGUCGCCCUUAAAACCAGCUGCCCCAUCUGCAAGGUGCAACUGGCAAAUCAGAAUCAGCUAGUCGAUCAUUAUGCCUCGAAACAUCCCAAGGAGAAACCCCCCAGUGACUCGGGUUGAUUUACCAUGAUAAAUAAUGAAAACUCUCACUUUAUGUAUUUCAGAACUGGAAUGUACUGCUUUCAGUUAUUUGAAUCAAGCUACUAGAUUUCUUCCAA
Magnolia sinica is the source of this 517-nucleotide long non-coding RNA. RefSeq lists it as uncharacterized. Lineage: Eukaryota; Viridiplantae; Streptophyta; Magnoliopsida; Magnoliales; Magnoliaceae. The transcript has 2 exons. The record is from RefSeq and is a predicted model, not a curated record.